RNAcentral lists this long non-coding RNA (736 nucleotides) under Mytilus galloprovincialis (Mediterranean mussel). Lineage: Eukaryota; Metazoa; Mollusca; Bivalvia; Mytilida; Mytilidae. The record is from RNAcentral.
GUCCCAAGUACAUGGAUGCCCCAUCCACACUAUCAUUUUCUAUGUUUAGUGGACCAUGAAAAUGGGAUUAAAUUUCUAAUUUGGCAUUAAAAUUAAUCAUAUCAUAGGGAACAUGUUACUAAGUUUCAAGUUGAUGGACUUCAACUUCAUCAAAAACUACCUCGACCAAAAAUUUUAACCUGAAGUUUAACCUGAAGCAGGACAGACGUACAAACGGAAAACAUAAUGCCCAUAAAUGGGGCUUAAAAAUAAUGUCACUAUCAACAUAGAGUCCUCUAUUUUAUGAGCUACCUUAAUGAUUCAAACUGUCAUGAAUUAAUAUAUGUGCCUGAAUAUUCUAUCUUAAUAGGAAUUUUUUGUGUUAUUUUUGUUUAUAAAAGCCUUUGUGAACUUUGUAUUCAUCUAACUGAAUUUUUAAAGUAGAGUCUGACUGAAAACGACCAUGUCAUUAAAAGGGCUGAUACCUUUGCUUUGAAAUGGGGCUUAUAAAAUUAUAAAUUCAUUUAUAUGAAAAUGUGUUGCCAGUGUGACCAUAUCUCAUACUUGAUGAUGCGACAGACACAAGAAAAGUAUGCUCAAAAACCUUUCCUUGCUUAUAAAGCAGUCAAGACUAUCAUAAUUUUGGAGUAGUUCAUAUAUGUGAAAACCAUUUCACUUUUGUCAGUCAUAAAGCGUAGCAUAUACAUCUAUAAACUUCUUCUAAAUCAAAUUCAAAUUUUACAAUAGCAAAGCUAAA